This 467-nucleotide ribosomal RNA is filed under the name uncultured bacterium. RNAcentral's name for it is "partial 16S ribosomal RNA". It matches the Rfam family "Bacterial small subunit ribosomal RNA", at positions 28 to 507 of the family's 1533-position model. The record is from RNAcentral.
GACGAACGCUGGCGGCGUGCUUAACACAUGCAAGUCGAACGGAAAGGCCUCUUUCGGGGGGUACUCGAGUGGCGAACGGGUGAGUAACACGUGAGUAACCUGCCCUUGACUUUGGGAUAACUUCAGUAAACUGGGGCUAAUACCGGAUAGGAGCUCCUGCUGCAUGGUGGGGGUUGGAAAGUUUCGGCGGUUGGGGAUGGACUCGCGGCGUAUCAUCUUGUUGGUGGGGGAGUGGCUUACCAAGGCUUUGACGGGUAGCCGGCCUGAGAGGGUGACCGGCAACAUUGGGACUGAGAUACGGACCAGACUCCUACGGGAGGCAGAAGGGGGGAAUAUUGCACAAUGGGUGGAAGCCUGAUGCAGCAACGCCGUGUGCGGGAUGACGGCCUUCGGGUUGUAAACCGCUUUCGCUCAUGACGAAGCUUUGUGUGACGGUAGUGGGUAAAGAAGCACCGGCUAACUACGUG